GUCUACGGCCAUGCUGCCCUGAACACGCCCAGUCUCAUCUGAUCUCGGAAGCUAAGCAGAGUCAGCCCUGGUUAGUAGUUGUAUGGGAGACCACCUAGGAAGACCGGGUGCUAUAGGCA
RNAcentral lists this ribosomal RNA (119 nucleotides) under Pteropus vampyrus (large flying fox). Lineage: Eukaryota; Metazoa; Chordata; Mammalia; Chiroptera; Pteropodidae. The record is from RNAcentral.